AGCUGACAAGGGCAAAGCAGGCGAAAGCCUGCGGCGCAAAGCCCAGGGUCUAAGGCGCACAUUUCGCGCUAUGACAGCCUGGCUGCCGGC
This 90-nucleotide non-coding RNA is filed under the name Thermovirga lienii. RNAcentral describes it as "c-di-GMP sequence". It matches the Rfam family "c-di-GMP-I riboswitch aptamer". From Rfam's summary of the family: GEMM was predicted in a large-scale screen for bacterial structured RNA regulatory elements. Genes associated with GEMM are involved in a diverse array of functions, including chemotaxis regulation, signal transduction, secretion and chitin. The record is from RNAcentral. Lineage: Bacteria; Thermotogati; Synergistota; Synergistia; Synergistales; Thermovirgaceae. RNAcentral also lists the same sequence under 1 other name.